ACGAUGAUCCCAGCUUGCUGGGGGAUUAGUGGCGAACGGGUGAGUAACACGUGAGUAACCUGCCCUUGACUCUGGGAUAAGCCUGGGAAACUGGGUCUAAUACCGGAUACGACCAUCUGGCGCAUGUCAUGGUGGUGGAAAGCUUUUGUGGUUUUGGAUGGACUCGCGGCCUAUCAGCUUGUUGGUGGGGUAAUGGCCUACCAAGGCGACGACGGGUAGCCGGCCUGAGAGGGUGACCGGCCACACUGGGACUGAGACACGGCCCAGACUCCUACGGGAGGCAGCAGUGGGGAAUAUUGCACAAUGGGCGCAAGCCUGAUGCAGCGACGCCGCGUGAGGGAUGACGGCCUUCGGGUUGUAAACCUCUUUCAGUAGGGAAGAAGCCGUAAGGUGACGGUACCUGCAGAAGAAGCGCCGGCUAACUACGUGCCA
RNAcentral lists this ribosomal RNA (432 nucleotides) under Arthrobacter sp. RNAcentral's name for it is "bacterial SSU rRNA". It matches the Rfam family "Bacterial small subunit ribosomal RNA", at positions 66 to 510 of the family's 1533-position model. The record is from RNAcentral. Lineage: Bacteria; Bacillati; Actinomycetota; Actinomycetes; Micrococcales; Micrococcaceae.